Molecule: non-coding RNA, 21 nt
Filed under: Arabidopsis thaliana (thale cress)
Lineage: Eukaryota; Viridiplantae; Streptophyta; Magnoliopsida; Brassicales; Brassicaceae
Source: RNAcentral
UUGCCAACUUAUGUAAUUCAA